Suncus etruscus (white-toothed pygmy shrew) is the source of this 645-nucleotide long non-coding RNA. RefSeq lists it as uncharacterized. NCBI's taxonomy places the organism in Eukaryota, Metazoa, Chordata, Mammalia, Eulipotyphla, Soricidae. The transcript is spliced from 2 exons. The record is from RefSeq and is a predicted model, not a curated record.
AACUUGUAACAAAACCAAACGUUCAAUGAAGGUGAAGGAAAUUGAAUUAAAAAAUCCAAACUGUUUUUGAUAGAAUGAAAUGAUAAAAAUAAUUAGAUGAUCACAAGAUGACAUGUUGAACUGAAAAAGAAUGAUUUUUUAUUUCAAAUAAAAAUAUUUUAAAUGUUUCAUUUUUUGUGCAGUUAAAGCUUCAGGUUUUUUUUAUUUGGUGGAGCUAACUUAAUGCUAUGUUGAUGUUAUUUUGCCUUAAUUUAUAUAUCUUAAUAUAUAUACACAAAAUUUUGAACUACUUUGUAUAUACCUCAGUAUCAAACUUAUUAUUAGAAGCAAAUUUUUCAACUAUAUUAUGUUUCUAAGGCUAUAAAAGGAAUCAUGCAAUGGCAAAUUUUGCAUGAUAUUUAUAAAGUUGUGCAUUAUUAUUAGUUCAAUCUAAUUCUACUCAAGCACAUCUAACAUGAGUAAAGAAUACAACUAAGAUCACAUAUUGAUGGCAUGUAUGCUUAUACACAGAAAAAUGUAAUAUCAACAUUCUGUUUCUAAUAAUUAAAAUGCAUACUGAGAUAAUAUGAUGAUGCAUGCUUUAGAGAUGAGAUAUUAUGUCUCUUCAAAGUUUGUGUUAACAUAAUAAAACCACUGCCAAUAACA